AUUGAACGCUGGCGGCAUGCUUUACACAUGCAAGUCGAACGGCAGCGCGGGCUUCGGCCUGGCGGCGAGUGGCGAACGGGUGAGUAAUACAUCGGAACGUGCCCAGUAGUGGGGGAUAGCUCGGCGAAAGCCGGAUUAAUACCGCAUACGACCUGAGGGUGAAAGCGGGGGAUCUUGGGACCCGCCGCUAUGGGACGGGCCGAUGGCAGAUUAGCUAGUUGGUGGGGUAAAGGCCUACCAAGGCGACGAUCUGUAGCUGGUCUGAGAGGACGACCAGCCACACUGGGACUGAGACACGGCCCAGACUCCUACGGGAGGCAGCAGUGGGGAAUUUUGGACAAUGGGCGAAAGCCUGAUCCAGCAAUGCCGCGUGUGUGAUGAAGGCCUUCGGGUUGUAAAGCACUUUUGGCGGGAACGAAAAGGACUGUGCCAAUACCACGGUUCGAUGACGGUACCCGCAGAAUAAGCACCGGCUAACUACGUG
Molecule: ribosomal RNA, 484 nt
Filed under: uncultured bacterium
Lineage: Bacteria
Description: partial 16S ribosomal RNA
Rfam family: Bacterial small subunit ribosomal RNA
Source: RNAcentral